GACGAACGCUGGCGGCGUGCUUAACACAUGCAAGUCGAGCGAGGCCACCUCUGUCUUUGACGGAGGUGUUCGAGCGGCGAACGGGUGAGUAACACGUGAGUAAUCUGCCCUUCACUUGGGGAUAACCUCCGGAAACGGUGGCUAAUACCCGAUACGACCACGGAUUGCCUGAUCCGUGGUGGAAAGAGUCUAUUGGUGGAGGAUGUGCUCGCGGCCUAUCAGCUUGUUGGGGGGUAAUGGCCUACCAAGGCUUCGACGGGUAGCCGGCCUGAGAGGGUGACCGGCCACACUGGGACUGAGACACGGCCCAGACUCCUACGGGAGGCAGCAGUGGGGAAUAUUGGACAAUGGGCGAAAGCCUGAUCCAGCAACGCCGCGUGGGGAUGACGGCCUCGGUU
This 398-nucleotide ribosomal RNA is filed under the name uncultured bacterium. Its description in RNAcentral is "bacterial SSU rRNA". It matches the Rfam family "Bacterial small subunit ribosomal RNA", at positions 28 to 424 of the family's 1533-position model. The record is from RNAcentral.